CUGCUCCUUCUCCCAUACCCAUUGCAUAUCGGAGUUGUGAAUUCUCAAAACACCUCCUGUGUGCAUGGAUUACAGGAGGGUGAGCCUUGUCAUCG
This is a microRNA precursor of Prolemur simus (greater bamboo lemur), 95 nucleotides long. The record is from Ensembl. NCBI's taxonomy places the organism in Eukaryota, Metazoa, Chordata, Mammalia, Primates, Lemuridae.